Unclassified non-coding RNA from Macaca fascicularis (crab-eating macaque), 276 nucleotides. It matches the Rfam family "Metazoan signal recognition particle RNA". From Rfam's summary of the family: The signal recognition particle (SRP) is a universally conserved ribonucleoprotein. It is involved in the co-translational targeting of proteins to membranes. The record is from Ensembl. NCBI's taxonomy places the organism in Eukaryota, Metazoa, Chordata, Mammalia, Primates, Cercopithecidae.
CCCCCUGUAGUCUCAGCUAGUGGGGACGCGGGAGGAUCACUUGAGCCCAGGAGUUCUGGGCUGUAGUGUGCAGUGCUGAUAGCAGGUGUCUGCACGAAGUUCGGUAUCAAUACGGUGACCUCCCUGGAGCAGAGGACCACCAGAGUGCCUAAAGAGAGGUGAACUAGCCCAGUCUAGAAACUGAGCAGGUCAAAACUUUCAUCUCAUCAGUAGUGGGGAUCCCUGUGAAUAGCCACUGUACUCCAGCUUGGGCAAAGUAGCAAGACCCUGUCUCUA